GGUUCAUACGUUAAUAGCGUAUGGAUUUGACGUUAGCUGCAGAAGAAGCACCGGCUAACUCCGUGCCAGCAGCCGCGGUAAUACGGAGGGUGCGAGCGUUAAUCGGAAUUACUGGGCGUAAAGCGCAUGCAGGUGGUUUGUUAAGUCAGAUGUGAAAGCCCGGGGCUCAACCUCGGAAUAGCAUUUGAAACUGGCAGACUAGAGUACUGUAGAGGGGGUAGAAUUUCAGGUGUAGCGGUGAAAUGCGUAGAGAUCUGAAGGAAUACCGGUGGCGAAGGCGGCCCCCUGGACAGAUACUGACACUCAGAUGCGAAAGCGUGGGGAGCAAACAGGAUUAGAUACCCUGGUAG
Molecule: ribosomal RNA, 350 nt
Filed under: uncultured bacterium
Lineage: Bacteria
Description: bacterial SSU rRNA
Rfam family: Bacterial small subunit ribosomal RNA
Source: RNAcentral